CCAGACUCCUACGGGAGGCAGCAGUGAGGAAUAUUGGUCAAUGGCCGUAAGGCUGAACCAGCCAAGUCGCGUGAAGGAAGAAGGAUCUAUGGUUUGUAAACUUCUUUUAUAGGGGAAUAAAGGUAUCCACGUGUGGAUAUUUGCAUGUACCCUAUGAAUAAGCAUCGGCUAACUCCGUGCCAGCAGCCGCGGUAAUACGGAGGAUGCGAGCGUUAUCCGGAUUUAUUGGGUUUAAAGGGUGCGUAGGUUGUUUUUUAAGUCAGCGGUGAAAGUUUGUGGCUCAACCAUAAAAUUGCCGUUGAAACUGGAAGACUUGAGUGUGUUUGAGGUAGGCGGAAUGCGUGGUGUAGCGGUGAAAUGCAUAGAUAUCACGCAGAACUCCGAUUGCGAAGGCAGCGCACCGGCGCCCUACUGACGCUCAGGCACGAAAGCGUGGGUAUCGAACAGGAUUAGAUACCCGAGUA
RNAcentral lists this ribosomal RNA (464 nucleotides) under uncultured bacterium. RNAcentral describes it as "partial 16S ribosomal RNA". It matches the Rfam family "Bacterial small subunit ribosomal RNA", at positions 331 to 792 of the family's 1533-position model. The record is from RNAcentral.